CAAUAGCGUAUAUUUAAGUUGUUGCAGUUAAAAAGCUCGUAGUUGGAUUUCGGGUGGGACGCAGCGGUCUCGCAUUGCGUUUGUACUGCUGCAGCCCUCCUUCUUGCCGGGGGCGGCCUCUCGGACUUCACUGUCUGGGGGUCAGAAUCGGCGAUGUUACUUUGAGUAAAUUAGAGUGUUCAAAGCAAGCUUACGCUCUGAAUAUAAUAGCAUGGGAUAACACGACAGGACUCUGGCCUUUCGUGUUGGUCUAUAGGACCAGAGUAAUGAUUAAGAGGGACAGUCGGGGGCAUUCGUAUUCCGUUGUCAGAGGUGAAAUUCUUGGAUUUACGGAAGACGAACAUCUGCGAAAGCAUUUGCCAAGGAUGUUUUCAUUGA
This 378-nucleotide ribosomal RNA is filed under the name uncultured eukaryote. RNAcentral describes it as "partial 18S ribosomal RNA". It matches the Rfam family "Eukaryotic small subunit ribosomal RNA", at positions 592 to 976 of the family's 1831-position model. The record is from RNAcentral.